Molecule: non-coding RNA, 61 nt
Organism: Pristionchus pacificus
Lineage: Eukaryota; Metazoa; Nematoda; Chromadorea; Rhabditida; Neodiplogasteridae
Source: Rfam
UCUUCAUUUCACAUACACUCUCACCAGUCGGAGAGGCGAGAGAGUGUGUGAAAUGAAGAGA